AUACGGAGGGUGCAAGCGUUAAUCGGAAUUACUGGGCGUAAAGGGCGCGUAGGCGGUCCAAUAAGUCGGGUGUGAAAGCCCCAAGCUCAACUUGGGAAUUGCAUUCGAUACUGUUGGACUGGAGUGUGGUAGAGGGAAGCGGAAUUCCGGGUGUAGCGGUGAAAUGCGUAGAUAUCCGGAGGAACACCGGUGGCGAAGGCGGCUUCCUGGACCGAUUCUGACGCUGAGGCGCGAAAGCUAGGGUAGCAAACGGGAUUAGAUACCCCGGUAGUCC
RNAcentral lists this ribosomal RNA (274 nucleotides) under uncultured bacterium. RNAcentral describes it as "partial 16S ribosomal RNA". It matches the Rfam family "Bacterial small subunit ribosomal RNA", at positions 523 to 796 of the family's 1533-position model. The record is from RNAcentral.